Molecule: ribosomal RNA, 1087 nt
Filed under: Buddenbrockia sp. DG-2009
Lineage: Eukaryota; Metazoa; Cnidaria; Myxozoa; Malacovalvulida; Saccosporidae
Description: SSU rRNA
Rfam family: Eukaryotic small subunit ribosomal RNA
Source: RNAcentral
GCUAACCAAUUACGAAGGGUUUUGAAUUGGUCAAUUAGUCGUUGCAACUGGAUGAAUAGUCGUGAACAAUCACAAAUUUCGCUUAUACACUUAAUUGUGUGUAAGAUUGAACAUUUGUGGACGUACCUUGAACAAAUCGGUUUGUUCAAAACAGGCCAUAUCGAGCGCCUGGACAUUCGAGCAUGGAAUGAUCGAUCGAGACCUGAUCGUUUGGUCGGAAACGAGUAAGGUCCAGGUCAAAAGGGACAUUUGGGGGCAUACGAACUCGGCAGCGAGAGGUGAAAUUCUAAGACCUGCCGAGGUCGAACUAAAGCGAAAGCAUUUGCCAAGAAUGUUUUCAUUGAUCAAGAACGAAAGUUGGAGGAUCAAAAACGAUCAGAUACCGUUGUAGUUCCAACUUUAAACUAUGCCGACUGUAGGGGCCAGUUCGGUAUAUCCGUACUUAUUGACCUCCCAGGGAAACCAUAGUAGGGUUCUGGGGGGAGUACGGUCGCAAGUCUGAAACUUAAAGGAAUUGACGGAAGGGCACCACCAGGAGUGGAUCCUGCGGCUUAAUUUGACUCAACACGGGGAAACUUACCCGGUCCGGACACCGAUAGGAUUGACAGACUAAUCGCUCUUUCAUGAUACGGUGAUGAGUGGUGCAUGGCCGUUCAUAGUUGGUGGAGCGAUUUGUCUGGUUAAUUCCGUUAACGAACGAGACUAAAACCUUCAUUUCGUUUGCCAAUCAUGUUCUACGCUUUUAUCGGCUGAGAGCUAGACUUGAACAAACUAUUUGAAUGGGAUUAACGCCGUAAUCGAAAGGCGUUUGAAAUUUUUCAAUAACAGGUCUGUGAUGCCCUUAGAUGUCCGGGGCCGCACGCGGGAUACACUGGUGGUUGCAAAGAGUACUUAGGGAGAAAUCCUCGAGUAACCUCACGAACAACCAUCGUGACGGGGACUGAACCUUGCAAUUAUGGUUCACGAACGAGGAAUUUCUAGUAAGCGCUAGUCACCAUCUAGCGCUGAAUAUGUCCCUGCCCUUUGUACACACCGCCCGUCGCUACUACCGAUUGAAUGACUUAGCGAGAACUUGGUGGUAGCAUUU